Molecule: ribosomal RNA, 456 nt
Filed under: uncultured bacterium
Lineage: Bacteria
Description: bacterial SSU rRNA
Rfam family: Bacterial small subunit ribosomal RNA
Source: RNAcentral
AACGAACGCUGGCGGCGCGCUUAACACAUGCAAGUCGAACGCUCUGGUUUCGGCCAGGGAGUGGCGGACGGGUGAGUAACGCGUGGGAACCUGCCCUUGGGUUCGGGACAACCGCGGGAAACUGCGGCUAAGACCGGAUAUCCCCGUGAGGGGAAAGACUUGUCGCCUGAGGAUGGGCCCGCGUCGGAUUAGCUAGUCGGUGGGGUAACGGCUUACCGAGGCGACGAUCCGUAGCUGGUCUGAGAGGAUGGCCAGCCACACUGGGACUGAGACACGGCCCAGACUCCUACGGGAGGCAGCAGUGGGGAAUCUUGGACAAUGGGCGAAAGCCUGAUCCAGCGACGCCGCGUGGGUGACGAAGGCCUUCGGGUUGUAAAGCCCUUUUGCCGGGGACGAUGAUGACGGUACCCGGAGAAGAAGCACCGGCUAACUCCGUGCCAGCAGCCGCCGUAAUAC